GUUCGGGAACUCUGACACAGGUGCUGCAUGGCUGUCGUCAGCUCGUGUCGUGAGAUGGUUGGGUUAAGUCCCGUAACGAGCGCAACCCUUGUCCUUAGUUACCAGCACGUUAUGGUGGGCACUCUAAGGAGACUGCCGGUGACAAACCGGAGGAAGGUGGGGAUGACGUCAAGUCAUCAUGGCCCUUACGGCCUGGGCUACACACGUGCUACAAUGGUCGGUACAAAGGGUUGCCAAGCCGCGAGGUGGAGCUAAUCCCAUAAAACCGAUCGUAGUCCGGAUCGCAGUCUGCAACUCGACUGCGUGAAGUCGGAAUCGCUAGUAAUCGUGAAUCAGAAUGUCACGGUGAAUACGUUCCCGGGCCUU
This 366-nucleotide ribosomal RNA is filed under the name uncultured Pseudomonas sp. RNAcentral describes it as "bacterial SSU rRNA". It matches the Rfam family "Bacterial small subunit ribosomal RNA", at positions 1018 to 1382 of the family's 1533-position model. The record is from RNAcentral. Lineage: Bacteria; Pseudomonadati; Pseudomonadota; Gammaproteobacteria; Pseudomonadales; Pseudomonadaceae.